UUAGUAAGCGGAGGAAAAGAAACCAACAGGGAUUCCCUUAGUAGCGGCGAGCGAACCGGGACCUAGCCCAGCACCGAAUCCCUCGCUUAUCAGUGGCGAACGGGAAAUGUGGUGUAUGGGAGGGGUCGUUCCCAGCGAGCUGCGGCGGCGUAAGUCCCCCUGACAGGGGCUUCGUCCAGAGUGGGUGCCAGGCCCGUCUCUGUCGCCGCUCUCGCC
This 216-nucleotide ribosomal RNA is filed under the name Alectorobius capensis. Its description in RNAcentral is "Ornithodoros capensis partial 28S ribosomal RNA". It matches the Rfam family "Eukaryotic large subunit ribosomal RNA", at positions 43 to 242 of the family's 3401-position model. Lineage: Eukaryota; Metazoa; Arthropoda; Arachnida; Ixodida; Argasidae. The record is from RNAcentral.